RNAcentral lists this ribosomal RNA (112 nucleotides) under Mus pahari (shrew mouse). The record is from RNAcentral. Lineage: Eukaryota; Metazoa; Chordata; Mammalia; Rodentia; Muridae.
GUCUACGGCUAUACCACCCUUAAUGUGCCCCAUCUCAUCUGAUCUCAGAAGCUAAGCAAUGUUGGGCCUGGUUAGUAUUUGGAUGGGAGACCACCUGGUGCUGUUGUAGGCU